ACGAACGCUGGCGGCGUGCCUAAUACAUGCAAGUCGAACGGUCUUUCUAUGGAAGUUUGCUUCCACUGAGAAGAUAGUGGCGAACGGGUGAGUAACACGUGGGUAACCUGCCCAUAAGAGGGGGAUAACAUCCGGAAACGGGUGCUAAUACCGCAUAGUUUUCUUGAUCGCAUGAUCGGGAAAGGAAAGACGGCCUUUGUGCUGUCGCUUAUGGAUGGACCCGCGGCGUAUUAGUUAGUUGGUGAGGUAAUGGCUCACCAAGACGAUGAUACGUAGCCGACCUGAGAGGGUGAUCGGCCACAUUGGGACUGAGACACGGCCCAAACUCCUACGGGAGGCAGCAGUAGGGAAUCUUCCGCAAUGGACGAAAGUCUGACGGAGCAACGCCGCGUGAGUGAAGAAAAGGUUUUCGGAUCGUAAAACUCUGUUGUCAGAGAAGAACAAGUUGGAGAGUAACUGCUCCAGCCUUGACGGUAUCUGACCAGAAAGCCACGGCUAACUACGUGCCAGCAGCGGC
This 517-nucleotide ribosomal RNA is filed under the name uncultured bacterium. RNAcentral's name for it is "bacterial SSU rRNA". It matches the Rfam family "Bacterial small subunit ribosomal RNA", at positions 29 to 518 of the family's 1533-position model. The record is from RNAcentral.